UACGUAGGGGGCUAGCGUUGUUCGGAAUCAUUGGGCGUAAAGCGCGUGUAGGCGGUUCGGUAAGUCCGCUGUGAAAGUCGGGGGCUCAACCCUCGAAUGCCGGUGGAUACUGUCGGACUAGAGUACGGAAGAGGCGAGUGGAAUUCCUGGUGUAGCGGUGAAAUGCGUAGAUAUCUGGAGGAACACCCGUGGUGCAGACGGCUUGCUGGACCGUAACUGACGCUGAGGCACGAAAGCGUGGGUAGCAAACAGG
Molecule: ribosomal RNA, 253 nt
Filed under: uncultured bacterium
Lineage: Bacteria
Description: partial 16S ribosomal RNA
Rfam family: Bacterial small subunit ribosomal RNA
Source: RNAcentral